Molecule: non-coding RNA, 28 nt
Filed under: Rattus norvegicus (Norway rat)
Lineage: Eukaryota; Metazoa; Chordata; Mammalia; Rodentia; Muridae
Source: RNAcentral
UACCAAUGGUGUGAAAGCUUCAGGCAGA